This 73-nucleotide transfer RNA is filed under the name Apaloderma vittatum (bar-tailed trogon). It matches the Rfam family "tRNA". Rfam says of the family: Transfer RNA (tRNA) molecules are approximately 80 nucleotides in length. Their secondary structure includes four short double-helical elements and three loops (D, anti-codon, and T loops). Further hydrogen bonds mediate the characteristic L-shaped molecular structure. tRNAs have two regions of fundamental functional importance: the anti-codon, which is responsible for specific mRNA codon recognition, and the 3' end, to which the tRNAs corresponding amino acid is attached (by aminoacyl-tRNA synthetases). tRNAs cope with the degeneracy of the genetic code in two manners: having more than one tRNA (with a specific anti-codon) for a particular amino acid; and 'wobble' base-pairing, i.e. permitting non-standard base-pairing at the 3rd anti-codon position. The record is from Rfam by way of RNAcentral. Lineage: Eukaryota; Metazoa; Chordata; Aves; Trogoniformes; Trogonidae.
GGCCUGUUAGCUCAGUUAGUUGAGCGUAGCGCUAACAACGCUAAGGUUGAGGGUUUGAUUCCCGUUUGGUCCC